Molecule: long non-coding RNA, 977 nt
Organism: Rhinopithecus roxellana (golden snub-nosed monkey)
Lineage: Eukaryota; Metazoa; Chordata; Mammalia; Primates; Cercopithecidae
Source: Ensembl
AGAUCCACAAGGUGGAGGUGGCAGUAGUGCUGGAUUCCACUGCUUUGGAGCCUGCCCAGUCGAAUUCGGGAGCCAGCGAGGGUCCUGACAGCAGCACAUUGGCCACCAGAAGACACCCAAAGGGAGAGGAGCUGAAGACCUUCUGGUGUGGGCUGGGCUACAAUUCACUUGCAGGAGAAACAGCCCGGAUGUGGAGAGGUGGCCAUCCUUGGCGGGAUCCUUUCUAAAGAGCCAAGAAAUCAACAUAGAGCUUCUUCUAUCUGAUUCUCUAACUGCAGACCUUCCAUGAGUCAAGCUUUGUGUCAAAAGGACAAAUUAAAAGGACCUAUAAAUGGCACCACCCAGCCCAAUGGACAGAUGCCCCAGGCUGCACAUUCUGUCAGUGCUGUUCUCCAAGAGGCCCAGACACACACUGAAACAUCCAAGGAUAGGAAGCCAGCCCUCGGGAACCACCAGGAGCCAGGAGCACCCCCGGCCCCACAUGGCCCCAAGUCCACCCUGCCCCCCACUCUGUUGCAGAGGUCCUGGGACACCAUCUGCAGCCCAGUCACGCCCCGCAAGGCCAAGAGCACUGACGGCGGGGGUUUCCCCGCCCCGCCCGACGACUUCCUGCCCACUGCCACGGCUGCCUCCACUGAACGACACAGAGCUGCCGCCACACCCGCUGGAGGAUCCAGAGCUCCUGCCACCGCCCGUGGACUUCAUGGAGCCGCCCGCCCCCGGACUUCGUGCCCGCUCCCCCAGCGGUCGUCAAGAGGCCUCCUAUGCCCCACCCUCCCAACAGGCGCGGAGCUUCAAUGUUCAGAACCAACACAUGAAUAAAACAAAUGAAUAAAUGUUAAACGUUCUUCCUACUGUAUUUAUACAAAGAUUACCGGGUCAGUAGAUCUGGAGGUCAACACUAUAAUUAAAAAUAGCUUUCACCAUCCCAUGCCGCCUUAAGUCUUGGUGACCUUAGAUUUUCAUCUCUACCUCUG